UGGGAAUUUUGGACAAUGGGCGAAAGCCUGAUCCAGCAAUGCCGCGUGUGUGAAGAAGGCCUUCGGGUUGUAAAGCACUUUUGUCCGGAAAGAAAUCCUUGGCUCUAAUACAGUCGGGGGAUGACGGUACCGGAAGAAUAAGCACCGGCUAACUACGUGCCAGCAGCCGCGGUAAUACGUAGGGUGCAAGCGUUAAUCGGAAUUACUGGGCGUAAAGCGUGCGCAGGCGGUUUGCUAAGACCGAUGUGAAAUCCCCGGGCUCAACCUGGGAACUGCAUUGGUGACUGGCAGGCUAGAGUAUGGCAGAGGGGGGUAGAAUUCCACGUGUAGCAGUGAAAUGCGUAGAGAUGUGGAGGAAUACCGAUGGCGAAGGCGGCCCCCUGGGCCAAUACUGACGCUCAUGCACGAAAGCGUGGGGAGCAAACAGGAUUAGAUACCCUGGUAGUCCACGCCCUAAACGAUGUCAACUAGUUGUUGGGGACUUCAUUUUCCUUAGUAACGUAGCUAACGCGUGAAGUUGACCGCCUGGGGAGUACGGUCGCAAGAUUAAAACUUAAAGGAAUUGACGGGUCAUAGCUG
RNAcentral lists this ribosomal RNA (579 nucleotides) under uncultured bacterium. RNAcentral describes it as "partial 16S ribosomal RNA". It matches the Rfam family "Bacterial small subunit ribosomal RNA", at positions 356 to 926 of the family's 1533-position model. The record is from RNAcentral.